GGAUGAACGCUGGCGGCGUGCCUAAUACAUACAAGUCGAGCGAACAGACGAGGAGCUUGCUCCUCUGACGUUAGCGGCGGACGGGUGAGUAACACGUGGAUAACCUACCUAUAAGACUGGGAUAACUUCGGGAAACCGGAGCUAAUACCGGAUAAUAUAUUGAACCGCAUGGUUCAAUAGUGAAAGACGGUUUUGCUGUCACUUAUAGAUGGAUCCGCGCCGCAUUAGCUAGUUGGUAAGGUAACGGCUUACCAAGGCAACGAUGCGUAGCCGACCUGAGAGGGUGAUCGGCCACACUGGAACUGAGACACGGUCCAGACUCCUACGGGAGGCAGCAGUAGGGAAUCUUCCGCAAUGGGCGAAAGCCUGACGGAGCAACGCCGCGUGAGUGAUGAAGGUCUUCGGAUCGUAAAACUCUGUUAUUAGGGAAGAACAAAUGUGUAAGUAACUAUGCACGUCUUGACGGUACCUAAUCAGAAAGCCACGGCUAACUACGUG
Molecule: ribosomal RNA, 498 nt
Filed under: uncultured bacterium
Lineage: Bacteria
Description: partial 16S ribosomal RNA
Rfam family: Bacterial small subunit ribosomal RNA
Source: RNAcentral